Molecule: long non-coding RNA, 225 nt
Filed under: Panax ginseng (ginseng)
Lineage: Eukaryota; Viridiplantae; Streptophyta; Magnoliopsida; Apiales; Araliaceae
Description: long non-coding RNA (PGIN_LNC018658)
Source: RNAcentral
CCUUGGAGCGUAGAAUAUGUUCCUUCUUAUCCAAGAUUUGAACAGGAACCUCUUCAUACGUUAAAUCUUCCGCUAUUUCGUCCGGUUCUAACUCAAUAAUGUGGUUCGGGUCUUCCACAUAUUUACGUAACAUGGAUAUGUGAAAAACGUUAUGAACACGAGACAUACUUGGCGGUAAAGCGAGUCUAUAGGCCACAGUUCCUACCCGAUCGAGGAUUAAAAAUG